Molecule: ribosomal RNA, 253 nt
Filed under: uncultured bacterium
Lineage: Bacteria
Description: partial 16S ribosomal RNA
Rfam family: Bacterial small subunit ribosomal RNA
Source: RNAcentral
UACGUAGGGUGCAAGCGUUGUCCGGAAUUAUUGGGCGUAAAGAGCUCGUAGGCGGUCUGUUGCGUCGGCUGUGAAAACCCGGGGCUCAACUCCGGGCCUGCAGCCGAUACGGGCAGACUAGAGUUCGGCAGGGGAGACUGGAAUUCCUGGUGUAGCGGUGAAAUGCGUAGAGAUCGGCAGGGACACCCAGGGGGAAACCAGUGGACUGGGCAUGUGCUGACGCUCAGGUGCGAAAGCGUGGGGAGCGAACCGG